AAAGUGUUUCUAGAUU
Molecule: ribosomal RNA, 16 nt
Filed under: Cupido argiades hellotia
Lineage: Eukaryota; Metazoa; Arthropoda; Insecta; Lepidoptera; Lycaenidae
Description: partial 12S ribosomal RNA
Source: RNAcentral